RNA transcript from Hevea brasiliensis (rubber tree), 1999 nucleotides. It is a transcript of the gene named E3 ubiquitin-protein ligase SP1, with no coding region annotated. Lineage: Eukaryota; Viridiplantae; Streptophyta; Magnoliopsida; Malpighiales; Euphorbiaceae. The record is from RefSeq and is a predicted model, not a curated record. The transcript is spliced from 12 exons.
CAGGGUGCAAUUGAGUGGCGUGAAUCACCGGAGACCACAGCGGCGUCCUGGCCAUGAUGGAUGUCGGUCUUUAGCGAUUGAGUUGGCUUGCGGCGGAAUGGGAUAAGUUAGACUCUGUGUGCGCACAUGAAGAAGAAAAAUAAAUAAAUAAAUAAGUAAAAUAGAAGCCCAGUUACCUCCCCUCUCACUCCCUCUCUUUAUUUUCCUUUUCCUUCACUUCUCGCACCUGAUUCUCUCCUUCUCUAUCUCUCUCUCCGAUUCCAAUCAUCUUCGCCUAACUUCUUCACCUCUGUCUAACGACUUCUAAUUUUCGCUCCAUUUUGCAUUUGCUUCGCUAAUUUUUGUUCCCUCUCAUUGAAUUCACUCGUUUCGCUUCUCUUGGUUGUUUGCCAUCGUAUUUCUCAAUCGAUUGGAUUUUAUUUUUCUUCUUUUGUUUAUGAUAUGUUACAAAUAAUGACAAUAAUUUAAAUUCAGACGGUUUGAGGCCGCUUAGGGUUUUUGUUUCUGUUAAGCUGAUCGUUGAAGAUGCUUCCAUGGGGUGGAAUUAGUUGCUGUUUGAGUGCUGCUGCGCUCUAUUUGCUUGGCAGGAGCAGUGGCAGGGAUGCAGAGGUUCUUAAAUCGGUCGCAAGAGUCAAUCAGCUGAAGGAAUUGGCAAAAUUACUUGAUAUUGAAAGCAAAGUCUUACCUUUGGUUGUUGCUAUCUCUGGAAGAGUUGGCUCAGAGACUCCAAUUAAUUGCGAGUAUAGUGGCUUGAGAGGUGUUAUAGUAGAGGAGACGGCUGAACAACACUUCCUCAAGCACAACGAUUCUGGAUCUUGGAUUCAAGAUUCAGCCUUAAUGCUAUCAAUGAGUAAAGAAGUCCCAUGGUACCUGGAUGACGGGACUGAUCGAGUAUAUGUUGUGGGGGCCCGAGGUGCCUCAGGGUUUGUGUUAACUGUUGGAAGUGAAAUUUUUGAAGAGUCAGGACGAUCACUUGUACGUGGAACAUUAGACUAUCUCCAAGGCCUCAAGAUGCUUGGUGUGAAGCGUAUCGAAAGGGUACUUCCAACUGGUACUUCAUUGACUGUGGUUGGUGAGGCCGUCAAGGAUGAUGUUGGAACUGUUCGGGUCCAGCGUCCCCACAAAGGGCCAUUUUACGUAUCUCCUAGGACUAUUGAUGAGCUCAUUGGGAAUUUGGGAAAGUGGGCAAGGUGGUAUAGAUAUGCCUCAGUCGGCUUGACAGUUUUUGGCGUUUUUCUGAUUGCCAAGCAUGCUAUACAGUAUAUCAUGGAGAGAAGGCGCCGUUGGGAAUUGCAGAGCAGGGUUCUUGCUGCUGCUGCUAAGAGACAAGAUCAAGAUUCUGAAGGUUCAAAUGGAAAAGCUGAGAAUGGAUCAGACAAUUCUAAGAGGGAACGUCCAAUUCCAGAUCUAUGUGUAAUAUGCCUUGAGCAGGAGUAUAAUGCCGUUUUUCUCCCGUGUGGCCAUAUGUGCUGUUGUACGACAUGCUCUUCACAUCUGACAAACUGUCCUCUAUGCCGGAGACGGAUAGAGCAGGUAGUGAAGACUUUCCGGCAUUGAGGAUUUGUUUCCAAGAUUUAGCAAGUGUCCCAGGUGAAGGCAAUUGUAACAAGGAGCUGAUUUUCCUGCACAUACAAGAUUUUGGUGUAAAAUCCUUUUAAUCAUGGAAUAUAUGAUCCUACUUCUGCAUGUGCUAAUAAGACGUUGAAACCCCCAAAGGUGUCAUAUGGUCAGCAUUAUGCCGUCAACAGAAUUCAAAAGCACCAUCCUUAAACGUCAAAAUAGGUCCAUCCCAGCAUUGGACUAUCUCUUCUUCUUCUUCUUCUUCUUCUGUUUUCUUUCUUUUUUUUUUUUUUUGUGUGAAAUCCCAGGAAAUAUCUUGACAUAGCCAUUAUUCUGUUGAAUUAAUCAAUAACGAGCUAAGGAUGUAUAUUGUCUUAAUUAAAAGUGAUAAUGUGUAUCUAUUUUAGUUUGGCAAAUUCAUUCGUCCACCGAGUGGAAA